RNAcentral lists this ribosomal RNA (429 nucleotides) under Verrucomicrobiota bacterium. RNAcentral's name for it is "Verrucomicrobia bacterium partial 16S ribosomal RNA". It matches the Rfam family "Bacterial small subunit ribosomal RNA", at positions 355 to 776 of the family's 1533-position model. The record is from RNAcentral. Lineage: Bacteria; Pseudomonadati; Verrucomicrobiota.
UAGGGAAUCUUCCGCAAUGGACGAAAGUCUGACGGAGCAACGCCGCGUGAGUGAAGAAGGAUUUCGGUUCGUAAAACUCUGUUGUUAGGGAAGAAAAAAUGUAUAGUAACUAUAUACAAAAGAGACGGUACCUAACCAGAAAGCCACGGCUAACUACGUGCCAGCAGCCGCGGUAAAACGUAGGUGGCAAGCGUUGUCCGGAAUUAUUGGGCGUAAAGCGCGCGCAGGUGGUUUAGAAAGUCUGAUGUGAAAGCCCACGGCUCAACCGUGGAGGGUCAUUGGAAACUAAUAAACUUGAGUGCAGGAGAGAAAAGUGGAAUUCCUAGUGUAGCGGUGAAAUGCGUAGAGAUUAGGAGGAACACCGGUGGCGAAAGCGGCUUUUUGGCCUGCAACUGACACUGAGGCGCGAAAGCGUGGGGAGCAAACAGG